GACGAACGCUGGCGGCGUGCUUAACACAUGCAAGUCGAACGGUGAAGCGCCUUCCUUUUUGGUGGGUGUGGAUGAGUGGCGAACGGGUGAGUAACACGUGAGUAACCUGCCCCCUUCUUCUGGAUAACCGCAUGAAAGUGUGGCUAAUACGGGAUAUUCUGGGUCUGUCGCAUGAUGGGUCUGGGAAAGAUAUUGUUUCGGUGGGGGAUGGGCUCGCGGCCUAUCAGCUUGUUGGUGGGGUGAUGGCCUACCAAGGCGGUGACGGGUAGCCGGCCUGAGAGGGUGGACGGUCACAAUGGUACUGAGACACGGCCCAGACUCCUACGGGAGGCAGCAGUGGGGAAUAUUGCACAAUGGGCGGAAGCAUGAUGCAGCGACGCCGCGUGAGGGAUGGAGGCCUUCGGGUUGUGAACCUCUUUCGCCAGUGAAGCAGGCCUGCCUCGUUUGUGGGUGGGUUGACGGUAGCUGGAUAAGAAGCGCCGGCUAACUACGUG
This 494-nucleotide ribosomal RNA is filed under the name uncultured bacterium. RNAcentral describes it as "partial 16S ribosomal RNA". It matches the Rfam family "Bacterial small subunit ribosomal RNA", at positions 28 to 507 of the family's 1533-position model. The record is from RNAcentral.